RNAcentral lists this long non-coding RNA (288 nucleotides) under Homo sapiens (human). RNAcentral describes it as "non-protein coding lnc-ETS1-1:2". The record is from RNAcentral. Lineage: Eukaryota; Metazoa; Chordata; Mammalia; Primates; Hominidae.
UCUUUCCCACCUCUUACCCCAGCCAUGUAAUUUGCACAUCGUUUUAUAUUUUCUAUUGGGAAAUCACAAAGCAUCUAAAAGGCAAGCAGUGGUUCUCAAGCUGCAGCCAAAGGAUCAGCUUGUUUUACUCAAGUGAAACCAGAACCCAGGCUGGAGCCUCGCAGAGAGGAGGGAUUUGGAAAAUACUCCUUGAGUGGAAUUCAGUGAUUUGUUUAAGAAACACCAGAGGCUUUCGCACAAUCCCUUUUUCCUGAAGCCAACUCUGCUGAGGAUGUGAUGUGGAUACGG